AGUGAACGCUGGCGGCAGGCCUAACACAUGCAAGUCGAACGAGUGGCGGACGGGUGAGUAAUGUCUGGGAAACUGCCUGAUGGAGGGGGAUAACUACUGGAAACUGUCGCUAAUACCGCGUACCAUAGGAUGAGCCCAAGUGGGAUUAGGUAGUUGGUGGGGUAAUGGCCUACCAAGCCGACGAUCUCUAGCUGGUCUGAGAGGAUGACCAGCCACACCGGGACUGAGAAACGGCCCGGAUUCCUACGGGAGGAAGCAGUGGGGAAUAUUGCGCAAUGGGGGCAACCUGACGCAGCCAUGCCGCGUGAAUGAAGAAGGCCUUCGGGUUGUAAAGUUCUUUCGGUGACGAGGCGUUAAUCACAGAAGAAGCACCGGCUAACUCCGUGCCAGCAGCCGCGGUAAUUC
RNAcentral lists this ribosomal RNA (405 nucleotides) under uncultured bacterium. RNAcentral's name for it is "partial 16S ribosomal RNA". It matches the Rfam family "Bacterial small subunit ribosomal RNA", at positions 29 to 526 of the family's 1533-position model. The record is from RNAcentral.